CCUACGGGAGGCAGCAGUGAGGAAUAUUGGUCAAUGGACGAGAGUCUGAACCAGCCAAGUAGCGUGAAGGAUGACUGCCCUAUGGGUUGUAAACUUCUUUUAUAUGGGAAUAAAAUGUUCCACGUGUGGGAUUUUGUAUGUACCAUAUGAAUAAGGAUCGGCUAACUCCGUGCCAGCAGCCGCGGUAAUACGGAGGAUCCGAGCGUUAUCCGGAUUUAUUGGGUUUAAAGGGUGCGUAGGUGGAUUGUUAAGUCAGUUGUGAAAGUUUGCGGCUCAACCGUAAAAUUGCAGUUGAAACUGGCAGUCUUGAGUACAGUAGAGGUAGGCGGAAUUCGUGGUGUAGCGGUGAAAUGCUUAGAUAUCACAAAGAACUCCGAUUGCGAAGGCAGUUCACUGAACUGCAACUGACACUGAGGCUCGAAAGUGUGGGUAUCAAACAGGAUUAGAUACCCGAGUAGUC
This 460-nucleotide ribosomal RNA is filed under the name uncultured bacterium. Its description in RNAcentral is "partial 16S ribosomal RNA". It matches the Rfam family "Bacterial small subunit ribosomal RNA", at positions 338 to 795 of the family's 1533-position model. The record is from RNAcentral.